RNAcentral lists this ribosomal RNA (460 nucleotides) under uncultured bacterium. RNAcentral describes it as "partial 16S ribosomal RNA". It matches the Rfam family "Bacterial small subunit ribosomal RNA", at positions 338 to 795 of the family's 1533-position model. The record is from RNAcentral.
CCUACGGGAGGCAGCAGUGAGGAAUAUUGGUCAAUGGACGAGAGUCUGAACCAGCCAAGUAGCGUGAAGGAUGACUGCCCUAUGGGUUGUAAACUUCUUUUAUAAAGGAAUAAAACGAGGCACGUAUGCCUUUUUGCAUGUACUUUAUGAGUAAGGAUCGGCUAACUCCGUGCCAGCAGCCGCGGUAAUACGGAGGAUCCGAGCGUUAUCCGGAUUUAUUGGGUUUAAAGGGAGCGUAGAUGGGUUGUUAAGUCAGUUGUGAAAGUGUGCGGCUCAACCGUAAAAUUGCAAUUGAUACUGGCAGUCUUGAGUACAGUUGAGGUAGGCGGAAUUCGUGGUGUAGCGGUGAAAUGCUUAGAUAUCACGAAGAACCCCGAUUGCGAAGGCAGCUUACUAAACUGUGACUGACAUUGAUGCUCGAAAGCGUGGGUAGCAAACAGGAUUAGAUACCCUAGUAGUC